ACUCCUACGGGAGGCAGCAGUGGGGAAUAUUGCACAAUGGGCGCAAGCCUGAUGCAGCCAUGCCGCGUGUGUGAAGAAGGCCUUCGGGUUGUAAAGCACUUUCAGUCGUGAGGAAGGUAGUGUAGUUAAUAGCUGCAUUAUUUGACGUUAGCGACAGAAGAAGCACCGGCUAACUCCGUGCCAGCAGCCGCGGUAAUACGGAGGGUGCGAGCGUUAAUCGGAAUUACUGGGCGUAAAGCGCAUGCAGGUGGUUGUUAAGUCAGAUGUGAAAGCCCGGGGCUCAACCUCGGAAUAGCAUUUGAAACUGGCAGACUAGAGUACUGUAGAGGGGGUAGAAUUUCAGGUGUAGCGGUGAAAUGCGUAGAGAUCUGAAGGAAUACCGGUGGCGAAGGCGGCCCCUGGACAGAUACUGACACUCAGAUGCGAAA
Molecule: ribosomal RNA, 428 nt
Filed under: uncultured bacterium
Lineage: Bacteria
Description: bacterial SSU rRNA
Rfam family: Bacterial small subunit ribosomal RNA
Source: RNAcentral